GUGUCAAACUGUGCCCCGUGGGCUGCACGCAGCUCAGGACGGCUGUGAAUGUGAUGCAACACAAAAUCGUAAAUUUACUUAAAACAUGAUGAGAUUUUUUUUUUUUGUCGUUACACGUUGCAAGGUAUUUAAUGUGUGGCCCAAGACAACUCUUCUUCUUCCGGUGUGGCCCAGAGAUGCCAAAAGGUUGGGCAGCCCUGCUCUACUGGGAAGAGAAACUCUCAGAUUGUUAAAAUCUCCCCACCCCUACCCUUGUGCAGGAACAUGAAUAUUUUGAAUUGUCCUGUGUCUUUCUAUGGCACAUGCC
Molecule: long non-coding RNA, 307 nt
Organism: Phyllostomus discolor (pale spear-nosed bat)
Lineage: Eukaryota; Metazoa; Chordata; Mammalia; Chiroptera; Phyllostomidae
Exons: 3
Source: RefSeq, a predicted model, not a curated record